This 125-nucleotide small RNA is filed under the name Marmota monax (woodchuck). Lineage: Eukaryota; Metazoa; Chordata; Mammalia; Rodentia; Sciuridae. The record is from RNAcentral.
GGUGGGUGCAGUGGCGUCCGCCUGUAAUCCCAGCAGCCUGGGAGGCAGAGGCAGGAGGAUCGCAAGUUCAAAGCCAGUCUCAGCAACUACAAGGCUCUCAGCAACUCAGUGAGCCCCUGUCUCUA